GCGGGUAUAGCUCAGUGGUAGAGCUCGUGCCUUCCAAGCACGAGGCCGCGGGUUCGAACCCCGCUGCCCGCUCCA
RNAcentral lists this transfer RNA (75 nucleotides) under Erythrobacter aureus. RNAcentral's name for it is "Erythrobacter sp. YH-07 tRNA-Gly". It matches the Rfam family "tRNA". From Rfam's summary of the family: Transfer RNA (tRNA) molecules are approximately 80 nucleotides in length. The record is from RNAcentral. Lineage: Bacteria; Pseudomonadati; Pseudomonadota; Alphaproteobacteria; Sphingomonadales; Erythrobacteraceae.